RNAcentral lists this long non-coding RNA (241 nucleotides) under Bos taurus (domestic cattle). Its description in RNAcentral is "long non-coding RNA NONBTAT004060". Lineage: Eukaryota; Metazoa; Chordata; Mammalia; Artiodactyla; Bovidae. The record is from RNAcentral.
GUUGACGGUUUUAGCCCCACAGUUUUAUACCAUAAGCAGCUCACAGGAAAGUGGGGCUGGGAGAACCCAAUGGGGAGGCCACGCUAGAGAGAUCUCAUCCGUCAGGGGAGCAACAGGAAACCUUGCUCACCAAUAACCGAUUAGAAAACAGCUCGCUUAACUACUGUUUAAACCUCUCUCUCUCUCACACACACCUUCCAGAGAGCCCAGCCUUGGAGUAUGAUGAAUUAUAACCACCCCC